Molecule: ribosomal RNA, 503 nt
Filed under: uncultured bacterium
Lineage: Bacteria
Description: partial 16S ribosomal RNA
Rfam family: Bacterial small subunit ribosomal RNA
Source: RNAcentral
GAUGAACGCUGGCGGCGUGCCUAAUACAUGCAAGUCGAACGAAGAUCUAGCUUGCUAGAUCUUAGUGGCGAACGGGUGAGUAAUACAUAAAUAAUCUGCCCAUAUGACUGGGAUAACUAUUGGAAACGAUAGCUAAUACCGGAUAGGUUGAUCGGAGGCAUCUCUGAUGAAUUAAAGUAGGAUUUCUACACAAAUGGAUGAGUUUAUGGCGCAUUAGUUAGUUGGUGGGGUAACGGCCUACCAAGACGAUGAUGCGUAGCCGACCUGAGAGGGUGACCGGCCACACUGGGACUGAGACACGGCCCAGACCCCUACGGGAGGCAGCAGUAGGGAAUUUUCGGCAAUGGGUGCAAGCCUGACCGAGCAACGCCGCGUGAGUGAUUAAGGCCUUCGGGUUGUAAAGCUCUGUUGUAAGGGAAGAACAUUCAGGAUAGGAAAUGAUCUUGAACUGACGGUACCUUACCAGAAAGCCACGGCUAACUACGUGCCAGCCGCCGCAGUAA